Molecule: small nuclear RNA, 150 nt
Filed under: Rhizoclosmatium globosum
Lineage: Eukaryota; Fungi; Chytridiomycota; Chytridiomycetes; Chytridiales; Chytriomycetaceae
Description: U4 spliceosomal RNA
Rfam family: U4 spliceosomal RNA (bases 1-130)
About the family: U4 small nuclear RNA (U4 snRNA) is a component of the major U2-dependent spliceosome. The structure of U4 snRNA from yeast and human has been reported.
Source: Rfam by way of RNAcentral
AUCCUACACAGAGAGUAAUAAGUUUGACCGUGAAGUCUCGACUGAGUCAACUUUUUUGCUGAUUGAAAACUAUUUCCUAACAUCUCCGUGGUCUCGCAAGAGGCAACGGGAAUUUUUGAAAAACCCACUCCCAUCCUUUACUUGAUGAGU